AAGGUUAAGCCUCACGGUUCAUUAGUACCGGUUAGCUCAACGCAUCGCUGCGCUUACACACCCGGCCUAUCAACGUCGUCGUCUUCAACGUUCCUUCAGGACCCUUAAAGGGUCAGGGAGAACUCAUCUCGGGGCAAGUUUCGUGCUUAGAUGCUUUCAGCACUUAUCUCUUCCGCAUUUAGCUACCGGGCAGUGCCAUUGGCAUGACAACCCGAACACCAGUGAUGCGUCCACUCCGGUCCUCUCGUACUAGGAGCAGCCCCCCUCAGUUCUCCAGCGCCCACGGCAGAUAGGGACCGAACUGUCUCACGACGUUCUAAACCCAGCUCGCGUACCACUUUAAAUGGCGAACAGCCAUACCCUUGGGACCUACUUCAGCCCCAGGAUGUGAUGAGCCGACAUCGAGGUGCCAAACACCGCCGUCGAUAUGAACUCUUGGGCGGUAUCAGCCUGUUAUCCCCGGAGUACCUUUUAUCCGUUGAGCGAUGGCCCUUCCAUUCAGAACCACCGGAUCACUAUGACCUGCUUUCGCACCUGCUCGCGCCGUCACGCUCGCAGUCAAGCUGGCUUAUGCCAUUGCACUAACCUCCUGAUGUCCGACCAGGAUUAGCCAACCUUCGUGCUCCUCCGUUACUCUUUAGGAGGAGACCGCCCCAGUCAAACUACCCACCAGACACUGUCCGCAACCCGGAUCACGGGUCCACGUUAGAACAUCAAACAUUAAAGGGUGGUAUUUCAAGGUCGGCUCCAUGCAGACUGGCGUCCACACUUCAAAGCCUCCCACCUAUCCUACACAUCAAGGCUCAAUGUUCAGUGUCAAGCUAUAGUAAAGGUUCACGGGGUCUUUCCGUCUUGCCGCGGGUACACUGCAUCUUCACAGCGAGUUCAAUUUCACUGAGUCUCGGGUGGAGACAGCCUGGCCAUCAUUACGCCAUUCGUGCAGGUCGGAACUUACCCGACAAGGAAUUUCGCUACCUUAGGACCGUUAUAGUUACGGCCGCCGUUUACCGGGGCUUCGAUCAAGAGCUUCGCUUGCGCUAACCCCAUCAAUUAACCUUCCGGCACCGGGCAGGCGUCACACCGUAUACGUCCACUUUCGUGUUUGCACAGUGCUGUGUUUUUAAUAAACAGUUGCAGCCAGCUGGUAUCUUCGACUGAUUUCAGCUCCACGAGCAAGUCGCUUCACCUACGUAUCAGCGUGCCUUCUCCCGAAGUUACGGCACCAUUUUGCCUAGUUCCUUCACCCGAGUUCUCUCAAGCGCCUUGGUAUUCUCUACCUGACCACCUGUGUCGGUUUGGGGUACGAUUUGAUGUUACCUGAUGCUUAGAGGCUUUUCCUGGAAGCAGGGCAUUUGUUGCUUCAGCACCGUAGUGCCUCGUCAUCACGCCUCGGCCUUGAUUUUCCGGAUUUGCCUGGAAAACCAGCCUACACGCUUAAACCGGGACAACCGUCGCCCGGCCAACAUAGCCUUCUCCGUCCCCCUUCGCAGUAACACCAAGUACAGGAAUAUUAACCUGUUUCCCAUCGACUACGCCUUUCGGCCUCGCCUUAGGGGUCGACUCACCCUGCCCCGAUUAACGUUGGACAGGAACCCUUGGUCUUCCGGCGAGCGGGCUUUUCACCCGCUUUAUCGUUACUUAUGUCAGCAUUCGCACUUCUGAUACCUCCAGCAUACCUCACAGCACACCUUCACAGGCUUACAGAACGCUCCCCUACCCAACAACGCAUAAGCGUCGCUGCCGCAGCUUCGGUGCAUGGUUUAGCCCCGUUACAUCUUCCGCGCAGGCCGACUCGACCAGUGAGCUAUUACGCUUUCUUUAAAUGAUGGCUGCUUCUAAGCCAACAUCCUGGCUGUCUGGGCCUUCCCACAUCGUUUCCCACUUAACCAUGACUUUGGGACCUUAGCUGGCGGUCUGGGUUGUUUCCCUCUUCACGACGGACGUUAGCACCCGCCGUGUGUCUCCCGUAAUAACAUUCUCCGGUAUUCGCAGUUUGCAUCGGGUUGGUAAGUCGGGAUGACCCCCUUGCCGAAACAGUGCUCUACCCCCGGAGAUGAAUUCACGAGGCGCUACCUAAAUAGCUUUCGGGGAGAACCAGCUAUCUCCCGGUUUGAUUGGCCUUUCACCCCCAGCCACAAGUCAUCCGCUAAUUUUUCAACAUUAGUCGGUUCGGUCCUCCAGUUAGUGUUACCCAACCUUCAACCUGCCCAUGGCUAGAUCACCGGGUUUCGGGUCUAUACCCUGCAACUUAACGCCCAGUUAAGACUCGGUUUCCCUUCGGCUCCCCUAUUCGGUUAACCUUGCUACAGAAUAUAAGUCGCUGACCCAUUAUACAAAAGGUACGCAGUCACACGCCUAAGCGUGCUCCCACUGCUUGUACGUACACGGUUUCAGGUUCUUUUUCACUCCCCUCGCCGGGGUUCUUUUCGCCUUUCCCUCACGGUACUGGUUCACUAUCGGUCAGUCAGGAGUAUUUAGCCUUGGAGGAUGGUCCCCCCAUAUUCAGACAGGAUACCACGUGUCCCGCCCUACUCAUCGAGCUCACAGUAUGUGCUAUUUUUGUGUACGGGGCUGUCACCCUGUAUCGCACGCCUUUCCAGACGCUUCCACUAACACACACACUGAUUCAGGCUCUGGGCUGCUCCCCGUUCGCUCGCCGCUACUGGGGGAAUCUCGGUUGAUUUCUUUUCCUCGGGGUACUUAGAUGUUUCAGUUCCCCCGGUUCGCCUCAUUAACCUAUGGAUUCAGUUAAUGAUAGUGUGACGAAUCACACUGGGUUUCCCCAUUCGGAAAUCGCCGGUUAUAACGGUUCAUAUCACCUUACCGACGCUUAUCGCAGAUUAGCACGUCCUUCAUCGCCUCUGACUGCCAGGGCAUCCACCGUGUACGCUUAGUCGCUUAA
Molecule: ribosomal RNA, 2902 nt
Filed under: Shigella flexneri K-218
Lineage: Bacteria; Pseudomonadati; Pseudomonadota; Gammaproteobacteria; Enterobacterales; Enterobacteriaceae
Description: 23S ribosomal RNA
Source: RNAcentral